Callithrix jacchus (white-tufted-ear marmoset) is the source of this 45-nucleotide non-coding RNA. The record is from Rfam. NCBI's taxonomy places the organism in Eukaryota, Metazoa, Chordata, Mammalia, Primates, Cebidae.
CAAAAGGCUCUUUUCAGAGCCACCUACUAGCUCAGAAAAGGCUGU